Molecule: ribosomal RNA, 253 nt
Filed under: uncultured bacterium
Lineage: Bacteria
Description: partial 16S ribosomal RNA
Rfam family: Bacterial small subunit ribosomal RNA
Source: RNAcentral
UACGAAGGGGGCUAGCGUUGCUCGGAAUUACUGGGCGUAAAGCGCACGUAGGCGGCUUUCUAAGUCGGGGGUGAAAUCCUGGAGCUCAACUCCAGAACUGCCUUCGAUACUGGAAAGCUCGAGUCCGGGAGAGGUGAGUGGAACUGCGAGUGUAGAGGUGAAAUUCGUAGAUAUUCGCAAGAACACCAGUGGCGAAGGCGGCUCACUGGCCCGGUACUGACGCUGAGGCGCGAAAGCUAGGGGAGCAAACGGG